Molecule: transfer RNA, 79 nt
Filed under: Acinetobacter radioresistens SK82
Lineage: Bacteria; Pseudomonadati; Pseudomonadota; Gammaproteobacteria; Moraxellales; Moraxellaceae
Description: tRNA-Arg
Rfam family: tRNA
About the family: Transfer RNA (tRNA) molecules are approximately 80 nucleotides in length. Their secondary structure includes four short double-helical elements and three loops (D, anti-codon, and T loops). Further hydrogen bonds mediate the characteristic L-shaped molecular structure. tRNAs have two regions of fundamental functional importance: the anti-codon, which is responsible for specific mRNA codon recognition, and the 3' end, to which the tRNAs corresponding amino acid is attached (by aminoacyl-tRNA synthetases). tRNAs cope with the degeneracy of the genetic code in two manners: having more than one tRNA (with a specific anti-codon) for a particular amino acid; and 'wobble' base-pairing, i.e. permitting non-standard base-pairing at the 3rd anti-codon position.
Source: RNAcentral
UGCGCUCAUAGCUCAGCUGGAUAGAGCACUUGGCUACGAACUAAGGGGUCGGGAGUUCGAAUCUCUCUGAGCGCACCAA